Molecule: long non-coding RNA, 1202 nt
Organism: Homo sapiens (human)
Lineage: Eukaryota; Metazoa; Chordata; Mammalia; Primates; Hominidae
Source: Ensembl
UUUUUUUUUUUUUUUUUUUUUUUUUUUUAGCUUUAAGCAAGAAGUUUUAUGCAGAAAUUGUUUGUGAGAAUGUUGAAGUUAAAAAACAUAGUUAUUAAUCCAAACUCAGAAAUCAAACAGGGAUAAGUCAGCGAAAAGAUGAUAUAUUGAAAAUUCAUGAAGGCCAACGAGAAGUUAGCCUCUAUCGCCCUGAAAAUUUAAACCAACCCCCCAAAAGACCCUCCUAAUCUAUUAAUUCCUCUGCUUGGGAGUCCCAAGGAAGUGAAAGAGAAUCCCUUAGAGCUCUGAUACAUCUAUAAAUUGGUUUUCUCCAUAAAUGUACACAUACAUGUAUCCUUCCAUCCUGUCUCCAGAAGCAGCAGUGACUGGCAUGCACACUGAAAACAAAGAAAUAGGGCAGGCAGGAAGGCACAGCAGGUACAUACUGGCAGAGGCCUGAUGUCUGCCCUUUACUGUAACUGCUCAAUGCCUUUCAUUGCCUCACAUACAUUUGAUUGGUAACUACAAAGAUGUGCAUUUACAUGUGUGAGAUAUUAAAAUGAUGGUUACAUGUAUACAUAUGUACCAAACCUGCAUGGUCAGCACAUGUAUCCCAGAACUUAAAGUAAAAUAAAAAAUAAAACAAUUUGAAAAAAAAGAUGGUUAAUGUAAAAUAAUAUAAUAAAGAUUACGUACUUCAUCAUAGGAUUCUUAUAAAGAAGUGUAGGGAAAAUACAAAUUUUAAGAAGCAAAGUUUAAUCAUACUUAUUAAGCAAGACUUUUCACAAGAAUUGAGUAUAAAUUCAAUCUCCAUAUUUCAGUUAACUUCAAACCUUGUUUCAAAUUAUCCUUUCCAAGUUUCAAUAAUAUGGCAAAUAGGACAACCAGUAAACUUUUAUUGCUUAAGAAUAUCAAUCUAGGCCGGGCGCGGUGGCUCACGCCUGUAAUUCCAGCACUUUGGGAGGCCGAGGCAGGUGGAUCACGAGGUCAGGAGAUCGAGACCAUCCUGGCUAACAGGGUGAAACCCCGUCUCUACUAAAAAUACAAAAAAAUUAGCCGGGUGUGGUGGCGGGCGCCUGUAGUCCCAGCUACUCGGCAGGCUGAGGCAGGAGAAUGGCGUGAACCUGGGAGGCGGAGCUCGCAGUGAGCCAAGAUAGAGCCACUGUACUCCAGCCUGGGUGACAGAGCGAGACGCUGUCUCAAAAAAAAAAAAAAAAAAAAAA